This is a non-coding RNA of Peromyscus maniculatus bairdii (prairie deer mouse), 1996 nucleotides long. NCBI's taxonomy places the organism in Eukaryota, Metazoa, Chordata, Mammalia, Rodentia, Cricetidae. The record is from RefSeq and is a predicted model, not a curated record.
CAGGGACGGGAGGAGAGCGCGCGCGAGCCCAAGGAAAGGAGAAACAAUGGCUAGGAGAAACCAUCUGGAAACCAAGGCUGGAACGGCCUGCCCGGGUCCCGCCAAGACCUGAGCGGGUCCCGCAAUGCAGCAGGCUGAGGAGGAAGUGAGCCCCCCCAUUCCUCAGGAAAACGACCCCCUGAGAGGUGGCCUGACACCCGAGCGGGUCGUUCUCGCUCUGGACGUGACUCCCGUUUGCCCUGGCGUGUGUGAAGAUCCCGUGGAGCCCUGCAGCCUUGUGACCCAGCUUGCCUCGUUCCAAGCUGUUAUCUAAGGCUUUUGUUCUUCGGUUUCUAGGAUAGUUAGGGCUAGAUUGACUGCCCUGGAAGCAGAGGACACUUUGGGGAGCCUCGUGCUCUCCAAGCUAUCGGCGUUUUCUUUUCAUCCAGUCCGCCAGUGUGUAGGGGCUCUGCCCUGAUUCAGGCAGGCGCCCAGUGGGAAGUCUGGUGGGCUUCUCUUCUACCCCUCCAAGCAGACCGGGGGCUACAGUCAACUGAAGAGCUCAGGUAGACGUGGGGAGGUCGGAGGAGGCAUCUGGCUUUUGAAUUGAGAAGAAAACUCAAAGAAGAGUCUGACACAAAGCAGUCCCAACGUCAGGGUACGGACAGUGGCAGCCACCAGAGGCCUGCUGGCCAAGCAGCGUGGUACUCAGAAAGUUUUGAGCACCCCCGGACGCAUUCUAAUUUGAGAGAAAGGAAGAUCAGGGUAGAAUCUGGCACAGUCUUGUAGACCAGAGUAAAGAGGGAGCCACCACCUGGUCUUUUGAGCUAGAUAGUGGUGACUUCCUUGUUCUGGCCUCAGGUGAUGGGGAACGGGUGAGUGAGGCCAUUUUUGAUUCUGGCAGGAGCUAAGGCAUGCAGGACCUCACUGUGGAGGAUUAAAAAGAGUGGGGCUGAUUGGCAUUCAAGAUGCAGAUGCUCGGCUGGACUUGCUAUGUUUGGACAUGUAAAAGAAGACCCCCAUUUCUGAGCUUGCAUUUCAGUAGCAUGGGUGGCAGUCUUGCCUCUCUUAAUUGUCCUAUAAAGUAGAAAACCCAGUCAGAUUGGACUAAAAUGAACCAAUCCAGUCCUCCUGAUGUAGCUGGGCGUCUCUUUUUACAGAUGGGGAAAUAGAGCCCAACCCAGGUUGGCUUCAAACUGGCUGUGUGGCUAGAGAUGGGGCUUCAAGCUGGCAGUUUGUAGUCCACAAGCUUGGGUGAAGACUUGCAUACGCAGAAGAGAAUGCUAAAGAGCUUCUUCCAAGAGAGGCUUGGCUGCCAGUCCUCAGUACUCCGGUAACGAAGACAAGAGUGGAAAAACCGGAAUGGCAACAGAGCCACCAAAGCAGCUGACCAAGGACAUAUUGAUUUGUCCUGGGCUCCUUGCUGCCAUCUGAGCCAGCCACACAAGAAGAUAAAGACUCCAAAGAACUCACCCACGGCAAUCCAUCCUGCUUAAGCCUCCCACGGCCAAGUCCACAGUUCUCGGGAUAAUCUGCCAACUCUGCCCUUUCCAACCCCGGCCUGACCAUCACUCACAGGGGAGUCAUGGUUCAGAGCACGAGACUGGAGUCAGCCGUCCUGCGUCAGGCCCAAGGCUUACUGAGUCAAAGGAUGUUUGCAGAUGUGCACAUUUGUUUGUGAUGCCCCCAAGCUGCCUCCUAAAAAAGGCUGAACACAAUGCUGUUGACAUGUCCCACCAAUGUACAAGACCAUGCACAUCCCACAUCUCUUCCAUCUUUUUCAAUCUGUUGGAAUAAACAAGCAAGAAAAGCUGUAUUAUUCUGCUUGCCUAUCUUUAUUCUGCAUAUUUUCCUAUUUUUUAAGCUAUUUGUAUUUCUUCUAUGAGGUGUCUAUUUCUAAACAGAGGUAAUAGUUUCUUAUGUAUUUGUAGUGGUUUAUUAUAUAAUAUGAAUACCAGCUGCUGUUAUAUAUGUACUAAAGUGUUGCUUUCAUUGAUAGAUUUGGUUUAGUUUUGUU